GACGAACGCUGGCGGCGUGCCUAAUACAUGCAAGUAGAACGCUGAAGGAGGAGCUUGCUUCUCUGGAUGAGUUGCGAACGGGUGAGUAACGCGUAGGUAACCUGCCUGGUAGCGGGGGAUAACUAUUGGAAACGAUAGCUAAUACCGCAUAAUAUUGACUAUUGCAUGAUAGUCAGUUGAAAGGUGCAACUGCACCACUACCAGAUGGACCUGCGUUGUAUUAGCUAGUUGGGGGGGUAACGGCUCACCAAGGCGACGAUACAUAGCCGACCUGAGAGGGGGAUCGGCCACACUGGGACUGAGACCCGGCCCAGACUCCUACGGGAGGCAGCAGUAGGGAAUCUUCGGCAAUGGACGGAAGUCUGACCGAGCAACGCCGCGUGAGUGAAGAAGGUUUUCGGAUCGUAAAGCUCUGUUGUAAGAGAAGAACGAGUGUGAGAGUGGAAAGCUCACACUGUGACGGUAUCUUACCAGAAAGGGACGGCUAACUACGUG
RNAcentral lists this ribosomal RNA (495 nucleotides) under uncultured bacterium. RNAcentral describes it as "partial 16S ribosomal RNA". It matches the Rfam family "Bacterial small subunit ribosomal RNA", at positions 28 to 507 of the family's 1533-position model. The record is from RNAcentral.